ACCGGCAGAACCUUUCCUGCAGUCAAUGACCAAAAGUGCCCUCUUUGGCCUCAUGGGGAUACCCCGGGCGGCGGGCAAGCAAGCGAGCUCAGCAGAUGUACGGUAGUGCAUACACCACUUUCCCUUUCUGAAAAGGAUACUGAAAACGGAAAAUAACGUUACCCUCGGGUUACCCGGUCCACGCUGCGGAGAAUCACCUUUGGCAGUUUCUGCUUUCCCUCCAAACGAAGGUGGAGAAGUAGAGGGGGACAAGUCGCGUACAUCCGGCUCCAAUCAACCCAAGGAUGGAUCCCACCACUUGGUACUGCCAAGGUCAUGGCAUUUGAUUUCAAGCUGCCCGUCAGUUUCUUGGCUGUCUGAAAACAACAAGUAGAAAAGGUGAGCUUCUGGUCUGCUUCCUUUACUUCACAGCUCAGUUUUAAAUUACAUUUGUGAGCAGUGAUUGAGAAAC
This 451-nucleotide long non-coding RNA is filed under the name Oncorhynchus kisutch (coho salmon). RNAcentral's name for it is "lncRNA (ENSOKIG00005022185.1)". The record is from RNAcentral. Lineage: Eukaryota; Metazoa; Chordata; Actinopteri; Salmoniformes; Salmonidae.